GCCUUGAAGAUCGGAGUGCUUGCACUCUGUGAAACAAGAUACAGGCUAGCGGCGGACGGGUGAGUAACACGUGGGUAACCUGCCCAAGAGAUCGGGAUAACACCUGGAAACAGAUGCUAAUACCGGAUAACAACAGAUGAUGCCUAUCAACUGUUUAAAAGAUGGUUCUGCUAUCACUCUUGGAUGGACCUGCGGUGCAUUAUCUAGUUGGUAGGGUAACGGUCUACCAAGGCGAUGAUGCAUAGCCGAGUUGAGAGACUGAUCGGCCACAUUGGGACUGAGACACGGCCCAAACUCCUACGGGAGGCAGCAGUAGGGAAUCUUCCACAAUGGACGCAAGUCUGAUGGAGCAACGCCGCGUGAGUGAAGAAGGGUUUCGGCUCGUACAGCUCUGUUGUUGGUGAAGAAGGACAGGGGUAGUAACUGACCUUUGUUUGACGGUAAUCAAUUAGAAAGUCACGGCUAACUACGUGCCAGCAGCCGCGGUAAUACGUAAGUGGCAAGCGUUGUCCGGAUUUAUUGGGCGUAUAGCGAGUGCAGGCGGCUCGAUAAGUCUGAUGUGAAAGCCUUCGGCUCAACCGGAGAAUUGCAUCAGAAACUGUCGAGCUUGAGUACAGAAGAGGAGAGUGGAACUCCAUGUGUAGCGGUGAAAUGCGUAGAUAUAUGGAAGAACACCGGUGGCGAAGGCGGCUCUCUGGUCUGUUACUGACGCUGAGGCUCGAAAGCAUGGGUAGCGAACAGGAUUAGAUACCCUGGUAGUCCAUGCCGUAAACGAUGAGUGCUAAGUGUUGGGAGGUUUCCGCCUCUCAGUGCUGCAGCUAACGCAUUAAGCACUCCGCCUGGGGAGUACGACCGCAAGGUUGAAACUCAAAGGAAUUGACGGGGGCCCGCACAAGCAGUGGAGCAUGUGGUUUAAUUCGAAGCAACGCGAAGAACCUUACCAGGUCUUGACAUCCAUAGCCAGUCUAAGAGAUUAGAUGUUCCCUUCGGGGACUAUGAGACAGGUGGUGCAUGGCUGUCGUCAGCUCGUGUCGUGAGAUGUUGGGUUAAGUCCCGCAACGAGCGCAACCCUUGUCAUUAGUUGCCAGCAUUAAGUUGGGCACUCUAAUGAGACUGCCGGUGACAAACCGGAGGAAGGUGGGGAUGACGUCAAGUCAUCAUGCCCCUUAUGACCUGGGCUACACACGUGCUACAAUGGACGGUACAACGAGAAGCGACCCUGUGAAGGCAAGCGGAUCUCUGAAAGCCGUUCUCAGUUCGGAUUGCAGGCUGCAACUCGCCUGCAUGAAGCUGGAAUCGCUAGUAAUCGCAAAUCAGCACGUUGCGGUGAAUACGUUCCCGGGCCU
This 1346-nucleotide ribosomal RNA is filed under the name uncultured bacterium. RNAcentral describes it as "bacterial SSU rRNA". It matches the Rfam family "Bacterial small subunit ribosomal RNA", at positions 61 to 1381 of the family's 1533-position model. The record is from RNAcentral.